This 253-nucleotide ribosomal RNA is filed under the name uncultured bacterium. RNAcentral's name for it is "partial 16S ribosomal RNA". It matches the Rfam family "Bacterial small subunit ribosomal RNA", at positions 524 to 776 of the family's 1533-position model. The record is from RNAcentral.
UACGUAGGUGGCGAACGUUAUCCGGAAUCACUGGGCGUAAAGGGUCCGCAGGUGGUCUUAAAGGUCUGGCGUGAAAUCAUCUGGCUCAACCAGAUGCCGCCGUUGGAAACCAUGAGACUAGGUUCACGCAGAGGUCGGUGGAAUUCCCGGUGUAGUGGUGGAAUGCGUAGAUAUCGGGAGGAACCCCUAAAGCGAAGGCAGCCGGCUGGGCGAUGAACGACACUGAGGGACGAAAGCGUAGGUAGCGAACAGG